This is a long non-coding RNA of Gadus macrocephalus (Pacific cod), 673 nucleotides long. RefSeq lists it as uncharacterized. The transcript is spliced from 5 exons. The record is from RefSeq and is a predicted model, not a curated record. NCBI's taxonomy places the organism in Eukaryota, Metazoa, Chordata, Actinopteri, Gadiformes, Gadidae.
UUAUCCCAUGAAAUGGGUGUUCUCAUUUCAUUGCAUUUUCAAAGAAUUUGUACAUUAAAAUUCAAGUGUGCAUAGGAAGCCUCAGAUAACUUCCUUUUGGCAUCACCCCUUCACAUUUCAUUGUGUGAGUACUUUCUCAGUAAUGACAAAACUGUCUCAUGUUAAAUAUGUCUCACAUGUGUCUCUCAUUACAGUACGCCUGGUAUUUUGCCACAGAGGCUACUUUUGACUUCAGUAUUCAUGACAUGUCUUUCCUGAGACGGUGGUGGUGUGUUGUCCUGGUGGAAAACCUUGAGCUGGAAGGGUAUGGGAGGAAGUUCGCCCACUUUACGGAGGAAGGAAAAUCAACCCUCCAAGACAAUGUCCCACCUGUCUUCAGGAUUGCCCGAAAAAGGAGACUUUCAAGCUGCACAGUGAUGCCAUUGGACUCUGACGAGGACCAUGCUUAUAAUAAGAGGCCUUACAGCUUUCCUUCUAAGGAGAUGGGCAGUGGAGUUACCAUGGACAAAGAUGUCUUCAGCUUCGAAGAAGACACAUCUCUAAUUUAACCAACCAUUAUGUCAUUUAUUGCUACAGGCUUUAAUAAUUAAAAUACUUUUGGUAUGGAGCUUUUUAUAUUCUAAGGUUUAUGCCAAUAUUUGGAGGUGAGAACAUGAUGCUACUGCAUGUAAAG